CCCCUAGUAACUGCGAGUGAAGCGGGAAAAGCUCAAAUUUAAAAUCUGGCAGUCUUAGAUUGUCCGAGUUGUAAUCUGGAGAAGCGUUUUCCGUGCUGGACCAUGUAUAAGUUCCUUGGAAUAGGAUAUCAUAGAGGGUGAGAAUCCCGUCUUUGACAUGGACUACCAGUGCUCUGUGAUACGCUCUCAAAGAGUCGCGUUGUUUGGGAAUGCAGCGCAAAAUGGGUGGUAUAUUCCAUCUAAAGCUAAAUAUUGGCGAGAGACCGAUAGCGAACAAGUACCGUGAGGGAAAGAUGAAAAGCACUUUGGAAAGAGAGUUAAACAGUACGUGAAAUUGUUGAAAGGGAAACGCUUGAAGUCAGUCGCGUUGUGUGGGACUCAGCCUUGCUUUUGCUUGGUGUAUUUCCUGCAUGACGGGCCAACAUCAGUUUUGACCACUAGAUAAAGUUGGGAGAAAUGUGGCACCUCCGGGUGUGUUAUAGUCUCUCUUCGCAUGUAGUGGCUGGGACUGAGGACCGCAGCGCGCCUUUAUGGCCGGGGUUCGCCCACGUUCGCGCUUAGGAUGUUGGCGUAAUGGCUUUAAACGACCCGUCUUGAAACACGGACCAAGGAGUCUAACAUGCCUGCGAGUGUUUGGGUGUAAAACCCAUGCGCGUAAUGAAAGUGAAAGUUGAGAUCUCUGUCGUGGAGAGCAUCGACGCCCGGUCCUGAGCCUUGGCGACGGAUCUGAGGUUGAGCAUGUAUGUUGGGACCCGAAAGAUGGUGAACUAUGCCUGAAUAGGGUGAAGCCAGAGGAAACUCUGGUGGAGGCUCGUAGCGAUUCUGACGUGCAAAUCGAUCGUCAAAUUUGGGUA
This 854-nucleotide ribosomal RNA is filed under the name Basidiodesertica hydei. RNAcentral's name for it is "Agaricomycotina sp. DST-2020a partial large subunit ribosomal RNA". It matches the Rfam family "Eukaryotic large subunit ribosomal RNA", at positions 77 to 917 of the family's 3401-position model. Lineage: Eukaryota; Fungi; Basidiomycota; Agaricomycetes; Corticiales; Corticiaceae. The record is from RNAcentral.